Thamnophis elegans (Western terrestrial garter snake) is the source of this 914-nucleotide long non-coding RNA. RefSeq lists it as uncharacterized. Lineage: Eukaryota; Metazoa; Chordata; Lepidosauria; Squamata; Natricidae. The transcript has 2 exons. The record is from RefSeq and is a predicted model, not a curated record.
GGAAUUGAGUUCCCAAGUCCCGCGACAGCUUUCGGGUUGCUUUGGAGCGGAGUCCGCAAACAAACUCGCUUUCCCAGCAAACCUACAGACGGGUCGACGCGUGCGUAAUCAGAGCUCUUUCUUUCGUGUUUCCCGGUUGACUCAACUUUGAUAUUUUGGUAACCGAUUGGCUGACAGGUUCAGCCGGCCGGGUAACGUCAGCAGGGAAACGUGGCAGCUUGGGCGAGCCGUUUGAUUUCUGCAAGACCAGUAUGGGGAGAAGGCGGGGCAGCAGCGAAGGGAAAAGCGACGCCAAGCUGUUUUGUGGGCGGAGCGAUCGCGUGGAAUUGGAAUUUGAACUGAGGUUAGACGUAGCAAUUAGAACACAGUUUGUUUUUUUUUAAAAGUGCUCCGUGGACAGAGUUUCGAGUCCAACGACGCUGUAAAGGGAAAGUAUUCACCUUCAAAACGUUGUGUAAAUACUGCCAGCAGAUUUUUUUUCACGCCAGCACAUCAUCUAGUCCACUCCAGCAUACUCUUGCAUUUCCAUGUACCUGUAUAUUCAGACACUGCUGUGCACUGACACCACUUCUGUUUACACUGGUCAUGGAUAUCAUCACGCAUGACCUGCAGCAGAAAACACCCUGGACUAUGCUCUAUGCUGAUGAUGUUAUGCUCGCAUCCAACAAGUCCAAAUAUGGAAUAAUUGCCUAACCAUUGCAACUCUGCCUCAACAUCAAGAAAACUGAGUACUUAGAGACUGUUACCACCCCUGGAAAGCUUCAACUCAGUGGAGAAUUUUGGUGUGGUACCAAUUACACAGAAGAUGAGAGAAAGCUGGCUCCGCUGAUAUGGACAUGUCCAGAGAGCAGCACCUUCCACCGUUGCCAAGACAGCCUACCAACUAGAAGUCAACGACUGGCGACCUUGCAAGC